AAGUCAUUUCACUGAAUGAACCGAGAGGUUCUCAGGCUCCUUUUUGCUUGAAGAAGAUAAAGCUUGCUUGUAAUGAUUUUUUGUAAUUCAUUUAAUAUUUGCAGUUGUUAACAGCUUUGUAAUGUAAUUUGUCUUUCACUGUCUCCUGGAGGGAGGAGGAGGAGAGGUGAAAAUACUGUCUACUGUGUUUGAAUACAUCUAGCCAAGAUGUUUCUGCUCUUGGAGGUCACCCUAAGCUAUUCUUUGGAGAAAGAUGACAUGGAAGCCUUGAUAGCAUUAAAGCAAUCCCAAAAGGGAUUAGGAUCAGAUCUGAGGACAACAUUUCUGCUUCAAUCAAGCUGGACUGUUCCACUGCUCUUGUUUUGCAUACAAGAAUUCAAGAUGUGAAGCCAGUGUGGCAGAAGCAGCUCUGCAAUAAACACUGAAGAGGAUGACUUCACUGAGCAUUUGGCUUUUUCUUCUUUGAGAUAACAUGUGGUUAUAGAAAUAAAUCAGAGCUAGAAGGACGGAUCACUUCCCAGCCGUGCCUUUCACUUAGCAAAAUGGACUUAUCCUGCAAUGGGACAUUUUCCAUCAAAGCCAGUUGUCUGUAUGCAUCUGCACUGAGCGUGUACUCUCUUUGAAUCUGAGUCCACAGGCAGAAGUGGACACCAUGUCAGAGGAUCCUAAGUGCAAUACCUAUUGGCAUUGCCUGUUCUGCCACCAAACUGAGUCUUGGAGUAACCUGUCCUACAAGGCUUCCCUCUGCUUCUUGGAGUCUCAGUAGCGGACUGCCCUAGUUGUUGGAACAUCCAAAAUCUGUGAUCUUGAGCACUGAGUGAUUUUAAAGAAGAAGUAGGUGUUCUGCAGUAGCAUGAUCUGCACCUGCCUGUGUUAUUUCAGCAGCACAGAGGCUUUCCUCUCCACCAAGCUGCGUCUUGCACUGCAAAUCUCCCCUGAAAAGGAUUAGGAGCAGUUGUUGUUUGGCAUGUUGCCAUGUUUCAACAAGGCAAAGUGCAAGGUCCUACGCCUGGGCUGGGACAAUUCCCAGUCACAGACUGUGUCACGGAUGGAUUGAGAGCAGCCCUACAGAGAAGGACUAGAGUUCUGGUGUAGGAAAAUCUGGACGUGAGCAAGUUAGCACUUGCAGCCUGGAAAGCCAACCAUAUCCUGGGCUGCAUCAAAGAAGCGUGACCAGCAGGACAAGGGAGGUGACUGUCCCCCUCUGCUCCACUUGUGUGAUGCCCCCACCUGCAGUACUGCAUCCAGGUCUGGAACAUAAGGGACAUGGAGCCAUUGGAGCAGGUCCAGAGGAGGGCCACAAAAAAGAGAAGUCUCUGGGGAGAGCUGAGAGCAGAUUUCCAAUUUACGAGGAGAAUAUAUCAGACAGAUGGAGACACUUUUUUACCAGGGCCUGCAAAUUUCAUCAUCUGAUGUCUUUCUUUGAACUCCAAGCUUGAUAUUCUCCUCGUGCAUGGUACACCAAUGCCCAUAUAUGCUGUACUUCCAAAGAACAGAGGACAAAACAUAAAGAAGCUGUUGUUAUAUUCUUGGUAUACUUUAUGUCGCUGUUCCUACAAGCUGAGGGUGCGGUCAGACAGCAGAGCAAGGCCAGUGUCGCGCCCUGCGGAGGCUGUCUGUCCCCAUCCCUCCCCAUCCUUGCACCAGCUCCAACGCGUGUCUGUUUGCAUAGAUUGUUCAGCCCUAUACCCUGGCCAUGGGCUGUUUUCCGCCUCCCUGAGUUAGUUUCCUGCUGGCUUGAAUUGCCUUAUCGGCAUUAUCAGCCAUGAGCCAGCAGGGAGGAGAGGUGGGCUGGUGUGGACCCACUCUCCUGCAGAGCCUCUGUCAGCCCAGCCCCAGCAUCGCACCACACCCUCCGACAAAGAAGUGAAGGACACUUCAGCUGUUCCCAAGAUAGACAUCUAGAUAAUAACAGUAGACAAUAAGAGCAGUGUACUGCUCACAGGCAUUUUUGGCAGACAGCAGCAACGCGGAUAUCAGAGUCUGAAGAGCAACGCUAGCUCUAUUUGUUGUGGCAAAGCUAUUGACACAAAGGCACGCAUAUCCAAGUGCUUUUCUUUGCCUUCUGUUGCACUUUAUCUCGAUGGAUAAAGAUUUAUCUGAAUUAAUUGCAUCCUGUUAUCAUAAUGGUGGCUACUUUGAAACUGUUGGCAAUUAUACUUCAGAAAUCUGCUACUAAGAUUAGUACAUUUCACUGCAUU
Molecule: long non-coding RNA, 2201 nt
Organism: Gallus gallus (chicken)
Lineage: Eukaryota; Metazoa; Chordata; Aves; Galliformes; Phasianidae
Source: Ensembl